This is a long non-coding RNA of Fukomys damarensis (Damara mole-rat), 322 nucleotides long. RefSeq lists it as uncharacterized. The transcript is spliced from 3 exons. NCBI's taxonomy places the organism in Eukaryota, Metazoa, Chordata, Mammalia, Rodentia, Bathyergidae. The record is from RefSeq and is a predicted model, not a curated record.
CUGAUAAUGGAUCUGAGAAGACUUCUAGACUCCAGUGUCAGGCUGUCUUCAAGAAGAGAUUGAGAGACCCCUGAUUUCGGGAACGUACAUACAACAUGAAGUUGGGCCACCCUUUAACUGACUAUGGAUCUUACAACUAUAUCUGCAAAGUGGAGGAGCUUGAACAGUCUUCUGUAAGCUUUUCUGGAUGUGCUGUUGAUCGAUCCCACCCACCUGGCUCAUUCAGCAUGAGAGAGGUGAUGAAAUGGAUGGAAGAAAACCACCAGCCUGCCCAUGUGAAAAUAUGAGAACUGGGAAUUCAUUUUGGAAUAUUGUUGGAGUC